GAUGAGCCUGCACUUGAUUAGUUUGUUGGUGGGGUAAUGGCCUACCAAGACUGUGAUCAAUAGCUGAUUUGAGAGGAUGAUCAGCCACAUUGGGACUGAGACACGGCCCAAACUCC
RNAcentral lists this ribosomal RNA (116 nucleotides) under uncultured bacterium. RNAcentral's name for it is "partial 16S ribosomal RNA". It matches the Rfam family "Bacterial small subunit ribosomal RNA", at positions 224 to 339 of the family's 1533-position model. The record is from RNAcentral.